GAAGGGAGCUUGCUCCUGGAUUCAGCGGCGGACGGGUGAGUAAUGCCUAGGAAUCUGCCUGGUAGUGGGGGAUAACGUCCGGAAACGGGCGCUAAUACCGCAUACGUCCUGAGGGAGAAAGUGGGGGAUCUUCGGACCUCACGCUAUCAGAUGAGCCUAGGUCGGAUUAGCUAGUUGGUGGGGUAAAGGCCUACCAAGGCGACGAUCCGUAACUGGUCUGAGAGGGUGAUCGGCCACACUGGGACUGAGACACGGCCCAGACUCCUACGGGAGGCAGCAGUAGGGAAUCUUCGGCAAUGGACGAAAGUCUGACCGAGCAACGCCGCGUGAGUGAAGAAGGUUUUCGGAUCGUAAAACUCUGUUGUUAGAGAAGAACAAGGACGUUAGUAACUGAACGUCCCCUGACGGUAUCUAACCAGAAAGCCACGGCUAACUACGUGCCAGCAGCCGCGGUAAUACGUAGGUGGCAAGCGUUGUCCGGAUUUAUUGGGCGUAAAGCGAGCGCAGGCGGUUUCUUAAGUCUGAUGUGAAAGCCCCCGGCUCAACCGGGGAGGGUCAUUGGAAACUGGGAGACUUGAGUGCAGAAGAGGAGAGUGGAAUUCCAUGUGUAGCGGUGAAAUGCGUAGAUAUAUGGAGGAACACCAGUGGCGAAGGCGGCUCUCUGGUCUGUAACUGACGCUGAGGCUCGAAAGCGUGGGGA
Molecule: ribosomal RNA, 700 nt
Filed under: uncultured bacterium
Lineage: Bacteria
Description: bacterial SSU rRNA
Rfam family: Bacterial small subunit ribosomal RNA
Source: RNAcentral